Molecule: ribosomal RNA, 305 nt
Filed under: uncultured bacterium
Lineage: Bacteria
Description: bacterial SSU rRNA
Rfam family: Bacterial small subunit ribosomal RNA
Source: RNAcentral
UUUUCCUACGGGACGCAGCAGUGGGGAAUAUUGGGCAAUGGGCGCAAGCCUGACCCAGCAACGCCGCGUGAAGGAAGAAGGCUUUCGGGUUGUAAACUUCUUUUAUGAGGGACGAAACAAAUGACGGUACCUCAUGAAUAAGCCACGGCUAACUACGUGCCAGCAGCCGCGGUAAUACGCAGGUGGCAAGCGUUAUCCGGAUUUACUGGGUGUAGAGGGCGUGUAGGCGGGACUGCAAGUCAGAUGUGAAAAUUAUGGGCUCAACCCAUAACCUGCAUUUGAAACUGUAGUUCUUGAGUGAUGGG